AAAACUAAAGGACAUCUGACACAAGAAACUAGCAGUGCUAACUAGCCAAAAUUGAGAUGUCACUUGGAUUAAGAAAGUUAAUGCAUUUAACAAGCAAAGAGCUCAUUUUAUAUUUUGUCUCGUAACAUAACAAAGAUGAAAAUCAGAAAUAACUUU
Long non-coding RNA from Hibiscus syriacus, 156 nucleotides. RefSeq lists it as uncharacterized. The transcript has 2 exons. NCBI's taxonomy places the organism in Eukaryota, Viridiplantae, Streptophyta, Magnoliopsida, Malvales, Malvaceae. The record is from RefSeq and is a predicted model, not a curated record.